Molecule: ribosomal RNA, 481 nt
Filed under: uncultured bacterium
Lineage: Bacteria
Description: partial 16S ribosomal RNA
Rfam family: Bacterial small subunit ribosomal RNA
Source: RNAcentral
UGGGGAAUUUUGGACAAUGGGCGAAAGCCUGAUCCAGCAAUGCCGCGUGUGUGAAGAAGGCCUUCGGGUUGUAAAGCACUUUUGUCCGGAAAGAAAUCCUUGGCUCUAAUACAGUCGGGGGAUGACGGUACCGGAAGAAUAAGCACCGGCUAACUACGUGCCAGCAGCCGCGGUAAUACGNAGGGUGCAAGCGUUAAUCGGAAUUACUGGGCGUAAAGCGUGCGCAGGCGGUUUGCUAAGACCGAUGUGAAAUCCCCGGGCUCAACCUGGGAACUGCAUUGGUGACUGGCAGGCUAGAGUAUGGCAGAGGGGGGUAGAAUUCCACGUGUAGCAGUGAAAUGCGUAGAGAUGUGGAGGAAUACCGAUGGCGAAAGGCAGCCCCCUGGGCCAAUACUGACGCUCAUGCAGCGAAAGCGUGGGGGAGCAAACAGGAUUAGAUACCCUGGUAGUCCAGCGCCCUAAACGAUGUCAACUAGUUGUU